RNAcentral lists this ribosomal RNA (535 nucleotides) under uncultured bacterium. Its description in RNAcentral is "bacterial SSU rRNA". It matches the Rfam family "Bacterial small subunit ribosomal RNA", at positions 363 to 917 of the family's 1533-position model. The record is from RNAcentral.
AUUGGAAUGGGCGCAGCCUGACUCAGCAACGCCGCGUGGAUGAUGACGGCCUUCGGGUUGUAAAAUCCUUUUCUGGGGGAAGAUAAUGACGGUACCCCAGGAAUAAGUUCCGGCUAACUACGUGCCAGCAGCCGCGGUAAAACGUAGGGGACAAGCGUUAUCCGGAUUUACUGGGCGUAAAGCGCAUGUAGGUGGCUUGCCAAGUUGGACGUGAAAGCUCCCGGCUUAACUGGGAGAGGUCGUUCAAAACUGGCCGGCUUGAGGUUGGAAGAGGAGAGCGGAAUUCCCGGUGUAGUGGUGGAAUGCGUAGAUAUCGGGAGGAACACCAGUGGCGAAAGCGGCUCUCUGGUUCAAUACUGACACUGAGAUGCGAAAGCGUGGGGAGCGAACGGGAUUAGAUACCCCGGUAGUCCACGCUGUAAACGAUGGAUACUAGGUGUAGGGGGCAUUAACCCCCUCUGUGCCGAAGCCAACGCGUUAAGUAUCCCGCCUGGGGACUACGGCCGCAAGGUUAAAACUCAAAAAAAUUGACGGA